Molecule: ribosomal RNA, 396 nt
Filed under: uncultured bacterium
Lineage: Bacteria
Description: partial 16S ribosomal RNA
Rfam family: Bacterial small subunit ribosomal RNA
Source: RNAcentral
AAUAUUGCACAAUGGGGGAAACCCUGAUGCAGCGACGCCGCGUGAGCGAAGAAGGCCUUCGGGUCGUAAAGCUCUGUCCUAAGGGAAGAAACGGACGGUACCAGAGGAGGAAGCCCCGGCUAACUACGUGCCAGCAGCCGCGGUAAUACGUAGGGGGCGAGCGUUGUCCGGAAUUACUGGGCGUAAAGGGUGCGUAGGCGGCCUAUUAAGUUGUGUGUGAAAGACUGGGGCUUAACCCCAGGGUUGCAUGCAAAACUGGUAGGCUUGAGUGCAGGAGAGGAGAGUGGAAUUCCCGGUGUAGCGGUGGAAUGCGUAGAUAUCGGGAGGAACACCAGUGGCGAAGGCGACUCUCUGGACUGUAACUGACGCUGAGGCACGAAAGCUGGGGGAGCAAAC